ACUUGAGCUUAUUCGACGCCUGAGAUCGGGAAAGGCAUUUCAUAAUUAGGCAUGACGACAGAAGGAGUUACUGACAACUACUGUUCUACAGUGAGGUACUAUGCCAAGUGCUUGAUGUGUAUUACCUCAGAAAAUCCAUCCACAGGACAUCUCUAUGAGGAUUAGACCCUAUUCUCCAUAUCCUCUGCUGCUCAUUGAGGUCCUGCUUCAAACCAAACAGACACUCUGGAUCCAUCU
Eubalaena glacialis (North Atlantic right whale) is the source of this 237-nucleotide long non-coding RNA. RefSeq lists it as uncharacterized. The transcript is spliced from 3 exons. The record is from RefSeq and is a predicted model, not a curated record. NCBI's taxonomy places the organism in Eukaryota, Metazoa, Chordata, Mammalia, Artiodactyla, Balaenidae.